RNAcentral lists this ribosomal RNA (597 nucleotides) under uncultured bacterium. RNAcentral's name for it is "bacterial SSU rRNA". It matches the Rfam family "Bacterial small subunit ribosomal RNA", at positions 23 to 590 of the family's 1533-position model. The record is from RNAcentral.
UUUUCGGACGAAGCUGGCGGCGUUGCUUAACACAUGCAAGUCGAACGAGAAAGGGACUUCGGUCCUGAGUACAGUGGCGCACGGGUGAGUAACACGUGGAUAAUCUGCCUGAUGGACAGGGAUAACAUCUCGAAAGAGGUGCUAAUACCAGAUAAGCCCACAGCAUCUACGGAUGCAGCGGGAAAAGGGGGCCUCUUCAUGAAAGCUUCCACCAACAGAUGAGUCCGCGGUCCAUUAGCUAGUUGGUAGGGUAAUGGCCUACCAAGGCCACGAUGGAUAGCUGGUUUGAGAGAAUGAUCAGCCACACUGGGACUGGAACACGGCCCAGACUCCUACGGGAGGCAGCAGUGGGGAAUAUUGCGCAAUGGGCGAAAGCCUGACGCAGCGACGCCGCGUGGAGGAUGAAGGCCUUCGGGUCGUAAACUCCUGUCAAGAGGGAAGAACCGUAUGCGGAAUAAUACGCCGCAUGCCUGACGGUACCUCUAGAGGAAGCACCGGCUAACUCCGUGCCAGCAGCCGCGGUAAUACGGAGGGUGCAAGCUUUAAUCCGGAAAUCACUGGGCCGUCAAGCGCCGCCUUAGGCGGUUUGGUAAGUCA